Molecule: transfer RNA, 68 nt
Filed under: Camelus bactrianus (Bactrian camel)
Lineage: Eukaryota; Metazoa; Chordata; Mammalia; Artiodactyla; Camelidae
Also listed under: 2 other names
Rfam family: tRNA
About the family: Transfer RNA (tRNA) molecules are approximately 80 nucleotides in length.
Source: Rfam by way of RNAcentral
GGGGGGCUCAGGGGUAGAGCGCAUGCCUUGCAUGCACAAGGCCCUGGGUUCAAUCCCCAGCACCUCCA